RNAcentral lists this long non-coding RNA (231 nucleotides) under Physcomitrium patens. RNAcentral describes it as "long non-coding RNA (PPAT_LNC013656)". Lineage: Eukaryota; Viridiplantae; Streptophyta; Bryopsida; Funariales; Funariaceae. The record is from RNAcentral.
CAAUACAUUUAAAGUUUUUAUUGAGCAAGAAAAGACUCAUCAUUGUUAAAAAGGAUUUUGCUUGUAUUAUAGAGAACCUAAGCAUACUGUUCAACAUUAUCCCAAGAAGUGAUACAACGACAAAAUGAAGAGUAUGAUUAUUAAAGAAGAUAGUAUGUUGAAAAAGAAGAUUGUAUAGCUACAAUAGGGGCCGUACAAUUGGAACCUUGUACAAUACCUAGUGAAGGUACU